UGAUACCAUGUAGAGAAAAUGGUCUUGGGCGAACACUGCUAUUUCGGUGUCACCGCUUGUGCUGCACAAUUGCAACUGAGAGUCAUAGUAGUUAGCUCUGAUACUAUUGAUACGAAUUUAGAAGAACCACACCCAAAAAGCUAACUCAAGGGAAGGAAAUUUACUCAAAUAUUAUACACGGUUAUCAAAGGCACGCAGGAGGUGCGCCUCAGCACCCAAUAGAAGGAGAGACGCGACACCUCACUGAGGCGCACCAAGGCAGGCACGAGGCGCAAAAGGGCGCUUCCCAUUGAUCCCCAGCGCAAGGGAAAAAUGUUAGGGCUUAAAAGCCAACAGCUAGCAUUCAG
RNAcentral lists this unclassified non-coding RNA (347 nucleotides) under Hevea brasiliensis (rubber tree). Lineage: Eukaryota; Viridiplantae; Streptophyta; Magnoliopsida; Malpighiales; Euphorbiaceae. The record is from RNAcentral.